AUACUUUUAUUUACAUUGAAAUGAAGAGCAAAUUUGUAUAAUACGUAUUAUUGAUUCUAGAAAUAUAGCAAAUUGAAACAUCCAAAUUUAGCAAAACAGCAUGUCGCUGUUGUAAAAUUCUCAUGAAAAAAUAGAAUGUCUAACCUUCACUACUGGCAAGAUUCGUUCAUGUAGAUGUAGUUGAAGAAGAGACAGUGUCAUACACAAACGUAGAAAAAGUUCUGAAAAGGAAAAAGACUCCUAGUAGAUUAUAAUUCAAAUCAAAUCAAACCAAUUAAAUUCAAUAGAUCGAUGUCUUGAAACAUUAAUUCCUAUAAGGUUGAAAAUAGUAGCAAUAUAACGCAAAAAUAGCGAGUCGUAAUAGCAAGUAAAAUGGUAGUCAUUAUAAAGGGUUAACUGUAUUUCAAGUAUAAAGAACGGAGAAAGUUGGAGCAAUGGCAAUAACACAUCGAGGAGUAAUUUAGGAAAGUAGUGAGAAAGAUGUUAGAAAGGAAAUUUAGUAAUUUGUAAGUAAUGAUUUCAGAACUUGGAACGUGAAAGGGAAAAAGAUAUUUUCAUCAUAAAGAAAAAUUUGCCCAUCGUGAAAUAGAGAAAUAGUGAGAAGAAAACCACCACCGAAAUAGCGAGACCCGCAGUAUGUUACUUCACGAGUCUCGCUAUUUUAGGAUUGCAUAGGUUAUCGGAUGGAAUCCAGUAAACAAAUGGGUAAGGAAAAGUGCGAUCAAUGAUGAGUGGGUUGGGUUACAAAUCAAUAUAGUCAGGUGAAAUUAAUUCGUUUCUCGAUAUAAAAGCAAUUGAGAAAGGAAUUGGAUAAAAUUUACAGAGAAU
This is a non-coding RNA of Schizosaccharomyces pombe (fission yeast), 828 nucleotides long. The record is from the annotation of a GenBank genome assembly. NCBI's taxonomy places the organism in Eukaryota, Fungi, Ascomycota, Schizosaccharomycetes, Schizosaccharomycetales, Schizosaccharomycetaceae.